This is a non-coding RNA of Anas platyrhynchos (mallard), 12046 nucleotides long. The record is from RefSeq and is a predicted model, not a curated record. NCBI's taxonomy places the organism in Eukaryota, Metazoa, Chordata, Aves, Anseriformes, Anatidae.
GUUCCCUGGUGUAUGUAAGGGAUGGAGGUAAGGCCUUCUCCAGGCAGUACAACAGCAUCUUCUUCAUUUAUCAUGUGGCAAACUUGAAUGUUCCCUAUGUGCAUCAAAAACACCUAUACCACCUUAUCCCAUUACUGUUUGUUUAGUGCAUGACUUCGAACGCUCAAAUGGGAGGUGAAAGACAGCUCCCCGAGCACCCCACACUUGCGCUGCGGCCCCGGCUCCCCCUCCUCGCAGCACCACCAUGCCCAAACCACCCCUCGCUACCCCAUGCCAGACGCAGACCCCAAAGCACGCUCACAAGAAAUACAAAAUAAACCGGUUUUUAUUUUCCACAGAGCCGUGCUGCAGCACCCUGAGGCCAGCGGCGCCCACCCGCGCCUCGCCUCAGCGGGAGAUGGCCGCAGCCGUGAGGCUCCUCGACCCCACACACGACGGGGGAAGGGUCACGAGCCCCCUCGGCUCCCCUCACGGGCAGCCCCCACCUCACGGCACCGCCCCUCGCCGAGGACUGGAGCGCGCAGCCCCCAGGCGUCCCCUCACAGCCGAGGGGGCAGAAGGGGUAGAGGAGCCGCUGCCCUCCCGCCCGCCCCUCGGGGAGUGGUCGGCGGCCCACGAAGCGCCCGCCCUUCACGGCGCAGCGGCUGCAGGGAGGCUCCGCCGCUGCAGCCCCCGGCCCGCCCGCCCCUCACAGGGGUCGCGGGCGGCCGCCCCCCCUGAGAGUACCGGGCUCCUUACCCCCCCAUAUGCCCAGCUUGAGCUGGGACUUGUCCAGGUUUUCCACAUAGUCGCCCAGGAAGCGGUUCAGCAGCGCAUGGAAAAAAAUCAUUGCUGUUAAUCUAGCUGUCCAAGUGACAUGAAUACUGGCAGACAGGGAACACAAACAAGAAUAUUGAUCCUGAAAAAUGCAUCCUUCAGGGAGUUGAUGCCACUACAGAGAAAGUAGAUGAGAACAUGCAGCCCUGUGUGGUGAAUCCGCAGUAUUGGCUGUUCAAAUCUAUCAAAUCCACUUGUAUCACAGGGAAUCGUCAAUGCAAGAAAACGAGAUGCAAAAUUGUGCACAGAGCUCCUGCUGUUAGGAAGCAGAUCAAAGGCUUCUUGAAAGAAGGGGAGUACUUCCUGAAUGGUUCAAGUGCAUAGCAACGUGAUGUAAUUCAUAACAUAAAUGCAAUUUCUGAAUGUUCCUCUUAUCCUGGAGCUUGGCAGGAACUCUAUUUCACUGGCAAUUGCUGGUGGUAUUUCAGCAGGGAGGCAGUGUUCCACUGUGCAGCGCCAGCCCUGUAAUGCUGAAGAUGUGCCAGACUUUUCGAUAAAAGGGACCUUGUUCUGCUUCAGCUUCACCCUUGUCCAGCAUCAUGCUGUGACACUUGGAGAUCUUCCAAGAACUUGUGUCACAGGCCCUGCUAGAGCAGAAGCCAAAGUAGCCCAACUACUACACAGCUUUUGUGCUGUAACUGAGCUUUUCCCAUGCAUGCCUAUUUAGGAAGUUACUACUGAAUAUGAAAAGGCAUUUAAAGCAUCUCCAUCCAGAGGCACGUCUGAAAUGCAUGUUGUUUUUUUUUUUUCCACUACUAAAUUUAAGUGAAGAAGAAUAUAAUAGAGGAAGAAGCAGGAGAUGAAAUUUGGUUUGGGAGAGUACCAAGGAAGGAGGAAAAGAAGCUGCAACUAGCAUCUCCUGAACAGGUCACAUAAAGAUGGAGAUGCCCUUCACUGAAAUGCAACCAUGAGACUCCAGCUGCAGGGCCAAAACACUACCUGCUGCACAAGUUUAUCUGAGAAUAAAUAAGAUAGUGCAAGACCUGCAGAUUGUUAAAUGAAGUUAAUAGCAAGUUCAGAAGAAGGGGAGGCAUUUCUUCCAUGUAAUAUGCAGCUAAGGUCUGAUGGUACAAUAGUUUUGAUGCAGCCUGGGAAAUGUGUUAACUGCGGGGCUGCUGAACCUAACCGUCAGACUUCCCUCAAGAACCUCAGUCAAACUGCACCAAGAAGUGUCAGGGAGUUCCCUGGCUGAGAGGCACAUAGAGGUAUGUUUGCAAAAUGUUCUUCAAUGCAUUUCACCAGGGUGCACAUGGAGGAGGGACACUACUGCCCAUGUCUGAUGCAGCAGUUAACUCUAAAACAUCCCAAAUAAGCCUGGUGUAGCUGACAGCCUGGCUAGGUAAUGUCUGGAACUGCUGUGGGCCUAUGAAUAAGCUACCUUCAUAAGCAUUACACUGAUGUUCAAUCACUGAUCUCGCGUGGGGGAAUCUGUUUGCCUCUGCUUUGAAGACUGAAGCUGCCUUGAGCAGCUGACACAACACCUGAGCAAUUACAUGCUAAUGUAGGAAAAGUCAGAAAUACAUGUAUUCAGCCUCACAUUUCAUCAGUCAGAAAAACACACUUUCAUCCCCUUGUUCUUCCUUGUAAGUAUAUAUUAGAUGUUACUUUUAAGAGUGAAACAUGCCAUUAGGUAUUGCUUCUGGUGUCAUUUCUAAGUUAGCUUUGUUAAAUUAAUCAUGAUAAUGCACUGGUGCCUGGACUUCUUCAGCGGCAUCAUAAGUGAUGAAUCAACCUAUUCCAUGCACACUGAGCAGGGAUGCAGAGCCUGGAUGCAUGCUUCCCACUCACAUGUACAGAGUAGGGUUCUGCUACGUUUAUCAGUCACAGAUAUGCAAAAUAAUUGUGGGUGGCAGUUUGGAGGGGAGGCUCAGAAAGUGGGUGGCGAAAGAAACAUUUAGUAAAGGCACAUAGUGAACCAGCAACUCCAUCAGCUUUUCUCCAUGCGAAGUUAGCCUGUCAGUACUAUGGCCCUGCUUUUUUUCUUUCUUUUUUUUUUUUUCCUAGAACUCUUUUAAAUUCAUGGGAGAUAUAAAGAGGCCUAAUUUUAUUUCCUUAAACUUGCUAUGGCACAGACUGCUUGUUCCAAUGGGAUGUAAUAUUUCAUUCAAUGAAGGGGAUAACAAUUAUGUUUUAAGAUGUACUCUAAUAUCAAUGGUUUCCUUGUUAAAUGUUUUGUGCUUCAUAUACCUGAGGGAUCCCCUAUGUAGGGGAUUUUGUUAAUGUUUAUAUUUCUGUGAGUUUGAAGUCGACUUGGUGUGCAAGCAACCUGCAGGUGUCUUUUUGCAUGAUGUUCUGUGUUUUUCUCUCCGUUUGCAUCUUCUUACCUCUCUCGUCUUUUGUGGUUUACAGAAAUUUUGGUAGCAUGGACCUGUAUGGGUUGAACCAUAUUUAUGUAGCUAUCAGAAAUCUCCUAGCACCUACCACUACUCAGUGUAUAAGAGCAUUGCCAACAAGUCAUGUUGCAGUGCGUUGCCAGCUCUUUCCAAAGCAAAUGAUUGUUACACACAUCUUCAACAUCAGUUACCAGGGCAACAUGGGGCACUUACGUGACAAUCCAGUAGUUUUACAUAGCCCAAAAUGCUCCUGUCAUUAAAAAUUAAUCCAACUGGGGCUGAUCCCCAGAUUUCCUUAUGAUGUAUCACCUAGAAAACAAUCUUCCAUUUAGGUCUUUUAAAAAAUUGUUUCCAAGAGAAUAAUAUACUCUGAGAUAUUACAUGUUUUGUUUCAAGGCCCAAUCCUCCAUUCAAUAGGCCUAGAUUUCUGUUGCUGCUUCUUUUAUUUUAUUGUAUUUUCGUAGCUAAGUUUUCUUGGGAGACCUAUAGAAACCCAUGCUGCUUUCUGUUUGUCUCAUGGACUAUACAACGUGAUAGGUGAAAAUAGCGUAAUAUUCAGGUUACUCAGCCCAAUUUAUCCACUUAAGUCUACAUACACUUACAAAGAUGGCACAGAACAACUUCAGAUUACUGUUUUCCUGCAUACAGCCCACAACUGAAAUGUCCAGCCUCUUCAGAUAACCCUCACUUAAUGAAAUGGGAAAGGAGAAGAGGCACACUGAGGCAGAUGUAAAAGGCUGUAUGGUAUCAGAGGAAGAGGGACUGAUGGAAAUUAAAGAGGAGAUGGUGAACUUUGUCUCCUGUCACACAAGGGAAGAUAGUCAUUACCGCUACUACCACUAACUCAGUUUUGCUUCUUUUAUAAUAAAAAGAAUGGUACUCAAAUGGCAGCUGUAAGCCUGAUAUAUUAGAGAGCAUGGUAAACUGAAGUUUCCCUUCAGAGGUAUCCUGGGCUAAAGUUUCUCUUCAGACUUCACUGUAUCACACGUAAUAGUAAUGCAUGUUUAUGCAGUAAAUUAGUUUGCACUGAGGGCUCUGAGUCACUCCUCAAAAUGCAUCUAACAACUCCUGUCUUCCCUUUUAAACUGCUGUCACUCUGGGUUAUUGAAACUGAAUUCAGGAAAGUGCUGGGGGAGCAGGGAGCUGGGGAUGGGGAGAACUUUCCUGUUUUUGUAUCCGUUAGACAAGAACCUAAUUACAGAAGUUGUCUAAUAGAAUUCAAAACAUAUUGACCUAGUUAAUAGUCUCUAGCUACCAAAGAACUCUAAAAAUCAAGAGAAGCCUUUUUCCAAGUAGCUUCUCAAAAUCUUACAGCAAGUAAAAUUCAAGAAGCAGGAUCAUAAAUGGUACUGUGAUUACAAGGAAAACUGUUUCUUCUCUGUUGGGAAUAAAGAAAAUAAUAAAGAGAAGUUAAAACAGGUAGGCACAGUAAAAUUCUAAAGGGCUUUUUUCACCCUCAACUCUUUAAAGAAAACUCAGGUCUGGUCACGUAAAAAAAAAAAAGUCUUGUCCCAUUCUCUGUAUUUGUCAGCAUUUCUAUAUCUUAACUUUGAAAGCCAUUCUAUUCAAUUUAGAUAAUAGUGGUUUCUAAGUGGAGAUGAGGCAUGUUUUUUUUUUUGUUUUGUUUUUUGUAUUUUUCACUUUAACAGAGGUGUGCUUUUAUCACAUACUGCAAGUCUUUUCAUCCUUUGAGGCCUUAGUCCUGCAGUUGGUGCAGUAAAAGAUCUUGUUAAUUUAAGCACAAUGAACAGCGAGAAAUGAGCCAUGGCUGAAUCCCAUGCUGUGCACUGGUAAUUUAUCAGAAAGGAAAGUCUUCUGCCUUGUCAAAUUACUUUCUUCAAUGUACUUGAAGUAGGGGAGAUGCUAGUCUUAGAGGAGCUGAGGGUCAAAGGUUCUAUCAGGAAAGUCUAUCUCUUCUGUCUUUACAACUAAAACACAAAAUAAGCUGUAACAUCCAAGAUGAAUGUUCAAGUACUUGGUCUGUAAGGAGGUAACAGAGCCGAAGGCAUAGGCAAAGUAGAAAUGUGCCUAUGACAAUAGUAUACUACCUGCUGUAGCUGUAGAGCAAGUCUCUCGGGAGGAAGAAAGAAAAAAAAAAAAAAAAGAAAAUAGAAAUACAAAAACCCAGACCAACCAACAGAAACAAACACCGUGUGCUGUAGCCUUCUCAGGGAGGGAGGUAUUGGCACAGGGAGCAAUCAUCUCUUCUGCAUCAGUCAGUCAUUUUAUUUUAUUAGGGAUUUGUAAAACCAGAGAUACUGUGUUAAAUAGCUUGAAGCAGUCUGCACAGUGAAGUAUUUCAUUUUCUAUGCAAGUCAGUCUGACCAUUAGUAAAGAGAAUAAUUUUUAUACUUUUAAGCCUAUCUCCCAUGUACAACGUGUGAAGUUUCCAACAAGAGAAAAAGUACCAGGUCUAUAUUACUAUAUACCAAUAUUGCCCUUGUAUUGUAGCUUUAGGUUUAAUGUAAAUCAACAGUCUGCAUGCUUGGCAUCAAACCUCACACUUAGUUUUACUCAAGAUACUCUGAUAUUACCAGUCCUGUCUUUGUGUUGGAACUGCUGACUGGAAACAAUCAGAUUUGUGAUGUCAGUGCUGUGCUGCAUCACCUGCAAGGCAUGAUAUGUUUCAUAGCACAAUUGGAAGUGACCCAGUUCUAGUAACCCGUGGGUAAAAAUACAUUGUCUGGAACUGCAUAGUUCUGGAGCAAAAACAAUACUGCCAAAGGCAAAUAAAGCACUUGCAAAGAGGCCAAACAGUUUAGGAGAGAGUAGGGAGAUGGACACAUGGAGACAGAUAAAGAAACACAGGCUUUCAGUUCUGUCCUUAUCCGAAAAAGAUUUAUGGCAAAGAGGACGCACCAGAGAGAAGUUUACUGUGAGCAAUGGAGAGAGGUGGGAGAAAAUAAAACAUUUCCAGGAGAGAAGAGUCAGCAAAUAUAGGGAAGUGAUGUGCUAAAAAUCUGAGAUAAAGACUCAGAGGGUCUGACCUUCGCAACAGCGACAGCUGACAAAAGAGCAAGGUAUGAGCUCAUAAUACAUUAGAUAAGAGUGCACUGAAACACAGUUAUGCCAUUACAGAAUUUACACUUGAAAUAUCUACCGGUUUGUCUACAGAGUUUUCUGUUUAUUAUAAAUAAUUUAAUUUGGUAUCCAUUGCUUUUAAGCUUGCCUGCUAAUCCUUCAAUAGCAGCUCCUGCUACAGCCUGAAGGGCAGCAGCAAUCGCAAUUUGUGGCUGCUCAGUGUCCCCAGGAGAGAUCUGGGCUGGCUGUAUAGAGAGGGCUUCUUCUGCUGUUAGUAUGCCAGGAAGCACUGCCUCUGGCCCAGCCAGUGCAUUCACUGAAAGGGUCCUUUCUUCUAUUCCAUUUAUUUUGGUCAAACAACAGAAGUUUGAUUAUAUUUCUUAGGAAACUGUUACUGAAAUAGGUUACAAUUUACAUAUUUCUUGCAAAGUAUUCUCUGUAUUUUUGCAUCUAUAGUCCAGAGCUAAAACAGGACCUAGGCAUAUUAUUCAUGUGCAUUUCUUAAAAUUAAAUCUAUGCAUAGCUCAUGCGUAUGAGCUCUUCAACACAGCAAAUAUACCAAGAACUACAGGAACCACCUGUGUUGGAAUAAGGUCUGUAGGCAUAAACCACCGGCCUCAAUUUUAGACUGCAGAGAUAAAAUGUUAAAACAGUAAAGUCGGUCUUAAAAUGUAGAUAUUUUAAACUGUUCAGAUAUGUGUAUAUUUACACCCAUCAGAAAUUCACAGCAUGGAGAAACUUUUAUCCCAUGCUGCCCCAUAUCAGCACUACAGGUGCACUAAGGUCUUAGAACUUCUUGGUGACAUAUUUACUUUUAUCAUCAAAUACAGCUCAUCACUAGAAACACACAACUUAAAAUAUUUUGAUUCUUUGCAAACCACAAUCAGUCCAAAUAGCUCAAGGUCUUUGUUGACUUUUCCGUACAGAAUGCAAACAAACAUCAGCAACAGUUUUUAGUGUUUAGUACAUCAGUCUGAUUAAUCUCUCUACUGUGCUUCAUUUUUGUAUCUUUCUCUGUAGGUUUAGCAGUUCCCCAUUGUUGGAAAAUGCCUGUUUUUAAUAAGAAACAAGACUAUUAGCUGUACUGGAGUCUUAUGAUGGGACAUAUUUUACUGCUUUUGUAUUUCAGUUGUAAACAUGAAGUUUGCAGUGGAAUAAUGAAAGGGGAGGCUUUUAUACUGUAAUAUUUCUCACAAGUAAAUGUGCAAAGCUUUCUGCUUUUUGGAUUUUAAGACUUAAAUUUUACACUGAGGACAUUACAUCUCUUUUGGGUAUUACAAGUAGUUUUCUAACUCAGCAUUUGAGACGUUUUCCUGAGAUGCCCUUCACACAUAAUGUAAGCAGGAUCAGGCCAAAAAUAUCUGUAUUCCUUUGACAAAGUCAAGAUGGAUGAGACAUCUUACAUUAGAUUUCUGGCAUUAGCAAACAUACAAGCAAAACACAUCCAGGAAAGUCACACCUUCUGCCUUUGAAAGGUGAAAGUGACUAAAAGUAAUGAUGGAAGUGUGAUUGGAGUGGGCAAAGAAGACAAAGCCAGACUCUUCUCAGCGCUAUGCAGUAAAAGGACAGAAAGAAUUGGGCACAAACAGAAGUACAGGAAGUUCCGUCUGAACAUAAGAAAACACAAAAGGAAUAAAAAGAAACAGAAGAAAGAAAACCACAGAUUUUUUUUUUUUUUUUUUUUUUUUACUCUGAAAGUGGUCAAACACUGGGAUAGGUUGCCUAGAAAGGUUGUGGACUCUCCAUGCUUUGGAGAUGCAACUGAAUAUGGUCCUGAGCAACCUGUUGUAGCUGACCCUGAGCAAGGGGUUAGAUUAGGUCUUUAGGUCCCUGCCAGCCUCAACUAUUUUGUGAUUCUGAAGCUGGCAAAAAGUCAAUGCCAUAGCAAGGACUGAUCUUCAUUAGAAAUGAGAGUUUACCUAUUAAUAAGUUGUUAUCAGGAGAAAGUGAAUUCUAAACAUUACCCAGACUUCAAAUAAUAUUUAUUUGCUACAAGAACACUGAGUGGAAAUACAAAUAAGUGAAGCAGAUUAGUUCCAUACUGAUAAUCCUAGUUUCACAUUUUGGUUUUACACUUUAUCAGUUUCUCCAACAGUAAUUUCCCUCAUGGUAUGCUGAAUUUCAACCUUUAAAAAGGUCCCACAAAGCAAGUAUCCCUUUGUUUUCCUUUGCAUUCAUGCAGUUGUCAAGUGCUCUGCUCCCAUGGGCUGUUCGACAUUAAAGCCUCAUCUUCUGUACCCAUAUCGUAACUUGGUGGCAUGGCAGAUCAUUCCUGCCGGCUGGAACAUAUCUAUUGUCCAGUAACUUCCAUCCAGUCCCAUUCCUGAGAGAAACUUAACUCAUUCAUUGCUAGCAAAGUAUCUUUAAAGCAGACCUCUGAAUGAAGCCACGUGUAUUUGUAGGACAAUACAGAAAAAUUCCAGACUCACAUAAUCCUUCUGGCCUACAUUUACUAAAAGUGCCCAAUCCUUCCCAGUAGAAAUAUUUAGGACAAGUCUUAGGAAACUCACUAUUGAAUUAGAUUUGUACUCAAGUCUUACACAGACUUGGAUAAUGUCUGGUGCUCCCCGUGGAUUAGGAAUAACUCUCAAUUUUACGAGCUUUUUCACAUUAAUGGUUUUGUUUCAGGUUCCUAUGGAUGAGGCACAUACUCCAGCAUCCUGAUAUAAAGGCAGCUGGGUGAAUAAGUGACAGAUCUGCAGAAUAGUUUAGGAACUUUUCUGAACAGAAAUCAGAAGUUUAAGGAUGUAACAUGAUUUUUCAGCUACAUCACAUUCUCUGUCAGGGCACUGGGAUAAUCGCCCUAUCUGAGGAAACAUUUCUGGAGCCAGUUUUGCAGCUACUUAGAUAUUCUUCUUUACAGCACCCCACAGGACAACACCUCCACUCCCAACCCAGCCACUUACCAUCACCAACAGACUACACGUGACAGAAAAACAAUACUUCCCCCUGGCUGUGCCAAGGACUUUGUUGUCUUGGUUGACAACAGGAUCAACUAUUGCUCCACCACUCUCUCCCAGGUGAAAAAAGACUGAUUAUCUCUGAGGGAAAGGAGACUAUAGAGGUGUUUACCCGGGAACUUGGUAAUUAGGAAGCAUGAUUCAUACUCCAAAGUGUAUGCAUCUCUUUCCUAGUAAUUCCACUGCAUGUAGCUUCUCAUAACCUUAAUAGAGUUUUGUAACAGUGUCUCAAAUCUUAGACAGACAAACCUGUACCACUGAAGAAGCUUGAUAUCAAAAAGUCAGUUACACACUUCAUGUAAGGUUAGGAAAUUUCAUCACCUAGCAGAUCACCUACACACACAGGACAAAGGCAGCCACUGGACAAAACUGCAGUACAUAUCAGAGCCACAUAAAUGCACCUUGCAGCUAUAGGUUAUACUUAGCUCAAACAAGGUUAGUAAGUUGUUAUGUUUGGCAAGAUUUGUGUCCUGGAUCUUCCCUGUGACACCAUGUGAGCCUCUUAGGAAGUGACGCUCCCUGCUGAAGGUCACCUUCACUUCUAACAGCCCCUUCCCCUGAGAACACACAAGGGGCACAAAUUCCAGGUGCAACUCUUUUGUGGCAUCAAAUGAGGCUACCUUGCACUGCUCAGCUACCCACACAAAAGUAGCUCUCCUUGUGCCCAGCAAUAAGCCAAGAGACUGACAACAAGCAAGUAUUAACAACUGUGGAUGUGAGGCUACAGCCCACUGAGCAGAGGGCACAUCACCACACUCCUUCCUGGUUUGUGCUUCAGGCACGCUUCUGCCCUGCUGUCUGCAAGGGAUGAACUCAAAGUCUGUUUUAGCUGUUCCACGAUGUGAGGCAAUGAAUAUCGAGUACAAAGCUGGGCUAACCAAGCUUAGAUCACAUCUCUGAAAAACCCCAACAACAAUUUCAGACUUUUCUGUUAAAGAUCAUCUGUGGAGGCUUGGCUCUUCCUGCAGCCAAUGCCACCACCACUACCAACCCCAACUAACUGAUCCAAAACUGUCUAACCGAAUUACUGUCUUGGAUCAGCUCCAACACUUUAGGCAAAAUAAUUAAGGCUGUGAGAUUCAGCAUUGACCACAGCUGCUCUUUCAUCAUGACUGAGAAUGCUUCUGCCAACACUCAGCAAGAGCCAUUUGCAUUCAGCAAGCUCUAACAGGUGAUUUGCCCACCUGGGCUUCGGCCUCAGCUUCAGCACAGCUCAGCAGUCCCUACAGGCUGGGCAGCAGGUUAUGUGGAGCCCUCCUUUUUUAACAGCAAAGUUUUGUCACAUCAAGUAGGUGUGGGAGCAGUGCUGGGGUCUCCAGCUUAGCUGUAGCUGUAGCAUCCAGCACAGCAACAGCCAGCUGUGCCUACUGCCCAACUCCUUUCCCAAAAUUAGAUGACUGGGAUGCCAGCAGAAAGCAAAUCUGGCAGGCACAGCUCUGCUAUGGGCAAGGGGCUGCUAGAAUGGCUCAAGCUAAAGUGCACUCAACCAGGGUAUCAUCUAGAACCACAGUUACAUAAAUAAUAUGGUGAAAUCAGAGAAACCUCGGACAAACUUAGGCUGCCUCUGGCAUUUCAAGAUAACGUCUGUUAUUGUUAUUGUUUUUACUGGGAUGAUAAAUUGAGGUUUAUUGCUUGCUGGAAAUUGCUAAUGGUUAGGACAGGAAGGUUUGACCAAAAACAGAGCAAAGAUUGAAGUCAGAUGGUUUCAGUUUAUGGAACUGUGCAUUUUGAUAAGGGGAUGACAGAAAUAAUGAUGGGAAUUUGAGCAGCACCACUCUGAGCUACCCCUUCUCAUUCUUCAGCUCUGCAUGUGAGAAAAUGAGCACUUUUAAUAUGAGCCUCUUACCCAAGUGCUCUUCUCAGUGUGUUUCUCAUCUAUUAUGUCAAGGCAAGGAAGGGCUCAUCCUUACAGGCAGCUGAGGAACCUGGUGAGACAGCCACAAGCAACACACAGCAACACUUAGGGUUGUGCAAACAUUGGAAAACUAUACUUGUGGGACCUCCUGGACUUCACAGCAACAGUUUAAACAGGCUGUGACCUGCUUCCCUCUACGUGGCUCCUCAGCUAAGCAUUGUAGUGAAGACACAGAACUUUGGCUGGCCCUCUUACUUCAAAAAAAAAAAAAAAAAGUGCUACUCUUCUGUUACUUGCAGUGAGAAAAAGCCACAGCCUUCUCAUUUACCUUGUGUUCUUUCAAAUGCUUCCUGAUUUUGCCCUGAAGAGGCUGAGAAAUGCAAGUAGAGAAAUCAUUUAGCUUUAACAGAAAGGAAAUGAGCUGGAAAAUCUUGUUCACUGUUUUCUGUCCAGUACAUGCAAUGCUUGGCAAGGUCAGGUUCUCACUGUACCACUCAGGAUAGCUAAUUUUGUAGCAUGACAACAUUUAUGGCCAGAAAUAGAAAAGGAAUAGCAGAGGGAAUUAAAAAAAUAUCAGAAGACAUAGCUGUUUGGUCACUUGUGGUGGUAUCAAGGAAAAUAAAAUCUGUCAUUUCUUUUCAUUCGUUUGUUAGACCAUUCUUUUCAUCUUUGGGACUGUGUUCAAUUUCCAGUUGCCAAAUACCACCAGCAAUGUGAGCUGUAGCCAUUUCUGCUCCUCACAGGAGCACAGAAGUUCUGGAAGAUCUUUUCCUCUGAUAAGGAUUCCCUAAAUGCGAAGAAACUGGCAGCAUAACGCAUGACUUCCAUAGCAAUCCCAGUGGAUGCAGACACGAAGGACCAAUACACAAACCCAAAGCAGCCCCUGUCCGCAGGCAGUGUGCUUCUGUGCACAGACCAGGCUGAGGUCUGGCUUCAGGAAUCUGCAGCUCUAUCCCCUCCUGCCACCUGGGUUUUCUGUCAGUCCCUUUUCUGCACAGUACAUCAGUUCACAGACACUUCUGCAACAUUCAACUUCCUUUUACCUCCACUGUGAUAAAGGA